RNAcentral lists this long non-coding RNA (708 nucleotides) under Sus scrofa (pig). Its description in RNAcentral is "lncRNA (multiple genes)". Lineage: Eukaryota; Metazoa; Chordata; Mammalia; Artiodactyla; Suidae. The record is from RNAcentral.
AUUUAUACAUGAAAGCUAUUGGGGAGGGUGAGUUUUGCCACGAGUAUCUGUGCAGACGCCGAAAGGAGCCUGUUUUUGUACUGCGAUCGUCCUGUGACUCUGGAUCUUGUCUUCUGGCUGGCGCCUCAAUUCCUGCCAGCUGGAUUGGGGGGGCGACACUGCCUGGCGCAGGGACAGAGCGAAUGAGACUACAAAGAAGCAUAAAAUGAAUAGACAAUGCAACCAACCAAAGACCCGGGGCAGCAGCACGCCUACAGGACGGCAUCUUCUCCUCCCCAGCCUAGAAGCCCGGUGAAAUCGAGGAUCUUCCCCCCUAAAACACACACACACAAGAUAUAUGCAAUCAAGCUGCCACCGCUUGGUUAAAAAGCUCAUGGUGCCUAACCCAAAAGGAUCCGGAGCAGGUCCUUGAAUCAGCUGUCUCUUCUUCUAUAGAAUGGGAUGUUUUUUGUAUAUAUUUUUUUCCUUCCUCCUAAACCUGCGCUGGAAAUUGCCGUUGGCUUUAUACAUCUCUAUAGAGGGAGGCUAAAGAGUCUGGCGUGAGAAUGAAGCAAUUUACAAUGCAAAUAGAGGCCUGUGGAGGGACGGAUGCUGCUGCUCACUCGUAACCGCUUGCUGCACCUUAAUAGCUGGUUUUAUUUUCUGAUAUUAAUAGAUGAAUUGUUGCCUAACGCUGCCGGAGAUUACUUGCUGAAAGGAAAAAAAAAA